Molecule: ribosomal RNA, 497 nt
Filed under: uncultured bacterium
Lineage: Bacteria
Description: partial 16S ribosomal RNA
Rfam family: Bacterial small subunit ribosomal RNA
Source: RNAcentral
GACGAACGCUGGCGGCGUGCCUAAUACAUGCAAGUCGAACGAACGGAUAAAGAGCUUGCUCUUUUGAAGUUAGUGGCGGACGGGUGAGUAACACGUGGGUAACCUGCCUCACAGCUGGGGAUAUCAUCGAGAAAUCGAUGCUAAUACCGAAUGUGCUGAACAUCAUAAGAUGUUCAAGUGAAAGACGGUUUCGGCUGUCACUGUGAGAUGGACCCGCGCUGGAUUAGCUAGUUGGUAAGGUAAUGGCUUACCAAGGCGACGAUCCAUAGCCGACCUGAGAGGGUGAUCGGCCACAUUGGGACUGAGACACGGCCCAAACUCCUACGGGAGGCAGCAGUAGGGAAUCUUCGGCAAUGGACGAAAGUCUGACCGAGCAACGCCGCGUGAGCGAAGAAGGCCUUCGGGUCGUAAAGCUCUGUUGUUAGAGAAGAACAUGGGUGAGAGUAACUGUUCACCCCUUGACGGUAUCUAACCAGAAAGCCACGGCUAACUACGUG